GGGCACCACCAGGAGUGGAGCCUGCGGCUUAAUUUGACUCAACACGGGAAAACCCACCCGGCCCAGACACUAGGAGGAUUGACUGACUGACUAGCUCUUUCUUGAUUCAGUGGGUGGUGGUGCAUGGCCGUUCUUAGUUGGUGGAGCGAUUUGUCUGGUUAAUUCCGAUAACGAACGAGACUCUGGCCUAUUAAAUAGACGGUAUAUCGAAAAGUAUAUCGCGCUUCUUAGAGGGACAAGCGGCGUCUAGCCGCAUGAAAUAGAGCAAUAACAGGUCUGUGAUGCCCUUAGAUGUCCGGGGCUGCACGCGCGCUACACUGAAAGAAUCAGAGUGCGCCGAUACCUAGUUCGGAAGAACCGGGUAACCCAAGUAAAUUCUUUCGUGCUUGGGAUAGGGAAUUGCAAUUAUUUCCCUUAAACGAGGAAUUCCCAGUAAAUGCGGGUCAUAAGCUCGCGUUGAUUACGUCCCUGCCCUUUGUACACACCGCCCGUCGCUACUACCGAUUGGAUGACUUAGUG
Molecule: ribosomal RNA, 519 nt
Filed under: uncultured eukaryote
Lineage: Eukaryota
Description: SSU rRNA
Rfam family: Eukaryotic small subunit ribosomal RNA
Source: RNAcentral